This 9740-nucleotide long non-coding RNA is filed under the name Coffea arabica (coffee). Its description in RNAcentral is "long non-coding RNA (CARA_LNC005175)". Lineage: Eukaryota; Viridiplantae; Streptophyta; Magnoliopsida; Gentianales; Rubiaceae. The record is from RNAcentral.
UUUUUUUUUUUUUUGGGGUUUGGAUCUACGGUAGUAGUAAUAAUUUGCAGUAAAGUAAGAGGCUGGAUUUUAACCAUAUCUAGCGUGUUGUUGUAACUUCUCGUUUACAUAUUCUCUCUCGUAUCAUCUAAUUCAUACCUUCUUUCUGUUGAUUGAUCCAACGCAUCAUAGAUUUGCAAUGAAUAAGAAUCCGAUUAACAAGGAGUCAUUGAAUAUCUGAACCAUGUGAUCCAAGCACACACAGGUGCAGAAAUUUUCUUGUUUGUCAUAGAGUUAUGGUGUACUAUAUGCUUGUUUAAGUGCAUUAUAUUCAUUCUUCAAUCAACAAGACCUGAAGAGAACCGGAAUAACUGCUGAAUGCAUUCGCACAGAAGUGAGGUCAAAAUAGUGAAAUUAAGACCAAAGCAAAACCAAUUUUUGAAAAGGAGAUCAACACGAUCGAAUUUUUUUUCACACUCUUCUAGUUCUACUAAUUUGUCUCUGCAUUUCUUUAUAGGAAUUUGAUUGCCAUUUUUGUAUACUUUUUUUUGGUGUAAUUUCUCAGUGUUUGAUAAUCACAUUGAACCCUGAGUAAUUUAAUUCGAGUACUGUCAAACUCUUUUAGGGCAAUUCUCCUUCUAGAGAUUCGAAUCCGAAAUCUCUCGUUGAGUAGAUAUCAAUCAACUCCUUGCGACAGUCACACCGUUGGUCAAUUUUUUUUUUUAUACUAGUUGCACGGUAACUAGGAUUAAAAAUUGAUUUGUACCCCAAAAAUAAAUAAAUAAAUAAAUAAAUAAAUAAAUAAAUAAAGGGGGUUGAAAGUUGACAUCACGUAGGCAGGUCAAUGUUUGGGGGUCCGGUGAAUAGUUCACGUGAAGUGGAGUGAUGGGCGAUGGGAGGGUUAAUGGUGGGACUGCAACACCUAACAACCACCAGAUUUUCUUGAACAGCGUAUCCUGCUUUUUACGCACAAACAAUCGACCGCCGCUGGUAGCACCAGUGGUUGUGUUUUUCUCGAGGGCUAUGUUAUUAUUGACCGAUUGCAAGGCGAACCUUGGGCUGACGGCGAUGCUUGUAGGUACAAGAUUCCUUUUGGCGGAUAAUGGAACUACUACCGUCCGUCCGACGUACCCCAGGAAGAAUAAAAAGAAAAAAUUGUCGGUCCCCCUGUUUUUAUGAAUUUGGAAUUCUCACAAUAGAUAGAUAUGUGGUGCUUGCUUUCUUUGUGCAACAGAGUUCAAGAUACGGAAAAGGAAAAAAGAAUAAAAUACGGUAGGGUUAAACCCCGUACAGUAUAAGUUAUAACCAAAAAGAAUGAGCCGACUGUCAUUGAAGGAGCCCGAGUCUCUCAAGGUCAGUAAAUGUCGGAGAUGCGAUUUGAUCGAGCUAAACUUGGUGAGUGAACAUAAUUUUCAAUUAUCAUAAUUUGAUUGGCCAUAGCAUGUAACAUAAUUUUCAAUUAUCAUUUUAUCUCAUAUACAUUAAAUCAUUGAAUCCUGAAUGGUAUAUUUUUAUAUAGAAACUCAAAAAAGUAGCAAUUCAAUCCGAAUUAACGGAGUGGUACCAUAGGACACUAAAUGGUGUUCAUACGGGCCUGUAGCUAUCUUUUUUUUUUUUAUCACAAAUUUAGCAUUGUAUAUUUUUUUUACUCUAACAUAAUUUAAGAGGAGGUUAAAGCGGACGGGAUAGUUACGGGCCAAGAGCCCAAUAGACUGUUGGCUGCCCCUGGGUAUCUACGAUGGUAAAAUUCGAUCUUCAGGGGAGGGUUGAAAGAGAUGUGGCAAGCUGGUUGAGUCCAAGCGGAGAAACACCUCAGCACAUGGAUCGGACGUGGUGGGUCUGAGACCAGCAACCCGACAUUUGCUGAUGUGUUGUGAUCCGUUCCUGUUCCUUUCGGACUCCCGUAGAGGCCUUUUAUAUUGUCUACUGAUCUCAUUCAUAUUUUAUUUCUUUCAUUUACAAGUCAAACACAUGCCUCGGAUUUUUUUGAAUUUGCUAAUAGAACCGAUUAUUCAAGUACCUAAAUCUUCUUCUUGUUUUAUACUUCCUCCGGCAAUUCAAUUCCAGGUACGUGCUUACUUGUUUGUGUCAAUUAAUUAAAGCGCAAGCGUGCUGCUGGAUAUGUCUAUAGAAGCAACGGUAAUUGCUUUUGACAUACAUGCACUCAUCUCAGGUCAACUGUAACACAAAAUAAACCAGUAAUAGCCGCCUCUCCCACUCGUUAUCCGGCCACCUCAAUAAACUUCGAAUGCCAAUGGAUAUAUAUACAUAUAUAUAGCUUAUACGAGGAACUAUUCUUCCUGGUCAGCGUUCGUGAGUAGUGCCAACAUAGUAGUAGAGUAUUUCGUUUUCUUUUUGAUUCAUUAACUGUUCCUUACUGAUUGACUUUGACGUGGAUAGAUACUUUGGUAGUUGUAAAUAUCGUAAACCACGAUGUAAUGUUAUGUAAUGAGACUAACAAAACAACUUAACGAUGUAGUUGAAAGAAAACCAGUGGAAUGUGUUCUUGUCGGACCAACUGCCAUCAGCUUGCAUCUAUUAACCAUGUUCUAUUAAUCUGCAAUGUUAUAGAAGAAACUGAAACUGAGACCAAACACAACUUAACGGACGAAGAGUGAGAGCAAUCGGGCUCAACAGCUGUUCAUUAUACGAUACGGCAAAAACAGGCGAAAGCAUUUUCUGUACAUUUCUAAUACGACAGACUGCUUUUCUUAAAAGAGUAGAGCUGUUGUGUGUGUGUGUGUGUGUGUGUAUAUAUAUUUGUUAUUGCAAUCCCGCCACGUAUGGCUUUCCUUUUUUUUUUCUUCCUUAGAAAUUGGAGCCUUUCGAGGUACCUGUACAUUUGGAGAGGUCAAUGUUGAAUGUAUAUUUGGUGAAAUGUCUAAGCAACAAAAUGCCCCUUACUUAGUAUAGGACUUCUAAUUUCUACGAGAUGGCUAAGCCCAUCCGUACGUACCAGUAUAUCUAUAUCAUAUAGUAGUAAUUAAAAGGAAGCCAAAAGCCAAAGAUUGAAGAGAGACGAAGCUAACGACAAAAACCAAGACAAAAAUGCCAUAGCAGCAGAUAACUGAUACCGGCCACAUAUUUUUGCGCUGCAGAAUGAGCCGCCAGAAACCAUCAACAGAUCUGUUACACCAGCGGACGAACAGGAUGCAGCUAACGAUAAAAAACAUAGUACCUGUGGGAAAGAAUUCCGCACAUCUUCUUCAGUAGCUCAAUCAGUGAGUCAAAAAAAAAAAAAAGUAAAGAAAUGGAAGAAAGCAACAUACCCAAUCUCCCAUCACAACAAUUGACAUUAUUCCUGGCUGACGAGAAGGCCGUUUAACGAAUACAGAGAAUGCAUCCACCAUUGCCAAUGUUAGACUCCAAGGAAUGACUAAACCCAUGAUUGUUACCAAGAAACUGAAAAUUUAAAAACAACAAUGAAACUGAAAGCCCACUCAGUCUUAUACGACUUUGAUGACUCUGCAUUGCAACAUUCACACUCAGAUACUCUUCAACUUUAGACAAUUUUAUGCCGCAAACUACCAAGGAGAGGACAAGCCUAAAACUGGAAUCAUCUUUUGCAGUCGACUACUAAAAAAGAGCUGCUUUAUAGCAAUUGCAAAUCCAAAUAGCAGGAACACAGUAAUACUACUUGUUUUGUUUGCAUUUCUAGAUCAAAUUAUGAGUGAUUUGUUCAAACAAUGCCCAGAAAACAAGCUAGAAGCCUUUCUUUUACAUUUUUAUUUCUGUUCAGGUGCUGUUUCUCUAGGAAGAAACUCUGUGUGCUUCAGAAAAUUUGAAGUUCAAUACUUUUCUGGCAUUCAGUCAGACUGCAAUCUAAAAUUCAUGGAUUUCAGGGUCAAACUGACUUUGAGCAAUGCACUAGCUGAAGGAAAAGAUAAAAACAGCAGUAAGCAGCAUUUUUCCCAUAAACAAGUCAAACCCUAAGAGAAACAAUUAAAAACACGAACAAAGGGGAAGCUGAAGAUCACGGGAAUGGCCCUCACUAGUCCUCAAUUUAGAAUUGUGACAAACAAGGCAAAUUGCAUGCCCGUGCACCACCGGAAUUCCCAACUUCUCCCUGAAGUAAACACUGGGCACUUGAAACUAACGUCCUAUUAAAAUGUAACUUGUCGAGUAAUUACUGAUAGCCCUGUUCAGUUCAACCUACGGUUCACCUCAACAUUGGAAAAGGGAUAAUGGUAUAUUAAUUCACAAUUAAAUGACAUAGAUACAAUUGAACUUCUAAGAACACACUCAUGAGAUAAUCCCGAAACUCCUUCAGAUUUUCCACUUCUACACAACAAUGUGAUUGAGAAUAAUCAUCUGGGCCAAAAUCAUGCAGUAAAUAUGUUAGAGCACUCAAUGGCACCCAACUCUGCGCAGCCACUACUCCCUGAUGCACUGAUUAGAAUAAUCAGAUACCCGACUCAUUAGACAAGUUAACAUUUGUUUCGUCCCCCUGAGAUCCCCUAACAAGUUAACAAAAAUUUGAUUCUAUUGAUAUCGUGAAAAGUUUUACCAGCCAAUGACAUAUCUUGCAGCAUCUUGAAACAGUGAAUUGACUAAAAAAUCUUUAAUUAUGUCGAGCGCAAACAACUGUUAGUCUCAAUGUUUGAAUAAUCAAAGUUAAAGCCUCUGCCUUGAGACUCUUCAACCGGAUGUCGAGCUGAUGACUUUUGAUUAGACUAUUGCAAAUGAAUUGCGUGAAAGCCACUAAUAACUUCCACGAAAACUUCUUGAAACUAAUGGCAUUAAUUUAAUCUCAUACAAAAGAUGGAUCGAAGGAACCAAAAUUCUAGCUAACUACUUGUGCCUAUUCCAACAGUUUCACCACCAAAGGGUCACCCAUGCAAUGCAUCAUUCCACGGUCCUCUCUAGUUCCCCCUCUAUUCUUCUUCUUCUUUGGGGCGGUCUUUGAAAGAUUAAACAGAGGGUUGGUUGGUGGGGUUGAGUGCUUUGUAUUUGGCUAGAAUUAGUAGUAUUCUGACUUCUCGGGGGAGGGGUCCCCUGAGUUGUCAAACCUGAACAGUCAGACAAAAUUCCCUAGUCUACCCAACAUAAAACCGAAAAAACAAAAAUGCUUAAUCAUCACCACCAGAAUCCAGUCUUUUCCAAAGCUACAAAUUGCAAUUCACUCUGAAUUAUGAUAAUCAAAAGCAUAGACAUCGACGCAGAGACAUCCAAAAAGAUCUCCAAUUAUACAUGAUCACUGAGAAUCCCGAACUUUAAUUCAUCAAACUACAAUUGGCUGGGAAAUAAAAGAGAAAUGAGGAAAAAAUGGUGAGAAAAUAACUAAACACUCGAUCAAGAGGAAAGGGGAGAAAUGAAAAAAAAAUUAAACAAGAAGAGAAGAUGGGACAUGGAAAUCCAGUAAAAGAAAGAGUGAGAAAUACCAGAAGGCAGUGUAGCUGUAGAACUCGACAUCCAAACACAUGAAAAGCAGAGAAGCAAUAGAGAAGAUGGCCUGUCCUAAUCUCAAAGCCAAGCUGGCACUCGUCCCUAAAGCCCCCGGCAAUUCAUCCAUAUGAUCCCCAGCAAUAUUUGAUUUGUCAAAACCAUGACUGAAUUCUCCGCAUGGACAUGGGAGCCUUCCACCUUUAUGUCGAAUACGCAAACCGUAAAAGCACACUACUAGUACAAUUUGGCUUCACAAAUGAGUUCCGACAACAAACUACUGAAAUAUUUUCACAUGCGGGAGGGAGGGUUUUCGUUUUCUUGAAUUGGAUAUCUUGACGGGACGAAUUAGUUGUUCUGUCGGAAAGAAAAGAAAGAAAUGGUGGUGAUCAGCGUUUACGGAGGAGAAAGGAGAUGAUGUGGACACAAUUGGUGGAAGGACUCUUCUCACUCUCUUCUGAGUCUCUCUCUCUCUCUCUCUCUGGUUUUUCUUUUUCUUUUUAAUAUAUAUAUAUAUAUAUAUAUAUAUAUAUAUAUAUAUGUAUUGCUUUCCUUUUCAUUUAUUUUAUUGCUGGGAGGCUCUUUUAUUUGUAUAUUUUAAAGAUAAUUGCAGAAAUGAUUCCUCAUCCUCCAAAAUUUGAAAUGAUUUGAUUUUGUCCUCAACAAAUCCAAAAGCUAACAAUUAGGUCGGAAAAUCCCAUCUUUUUGCACCAAAAUAAAAUAUUGUACUCACAUCAUUAAUAAAUUUGUUAAUUAUUUGAUGCGACAAAGGAGGUCAGUACAAUAAAGGCAAUGUAUGCAUCAUAUGCUCUUUCAAUUUCCUUCUUUCGACCCUACAAAUGGAUGCCGCUUUUUCAUUCUUACCCCCGUAACUAAUUUAGUACAAUUGUAAUAAAAGAAUUUUAAUAUGCUAAGAACAAUAAUACUGUGUCAAUUUAAAUACUCCCAAGAGAGUAAGAAGAGAGAGCAGAAUUAGUGAAUGUGAGGGCGCCUGGUUGUUGGGGGGUCAAAAAAAAGCCAAUUCUUAGGAAAAGGUCAAGAGACAAAUUCCUGUAAGGGUAGUUAUACUGGGUUUCGUGGGGGGUCGUCACUUCUUAGUAGCAGUGGACCUACUGGCUUGCCCUUGUGGGGUUGCCAUCCCACAUCGAUUCUUGGGGGGGUUUGGGGUUGGAUUUAUAAGUCCCUGGGAGGACCUCAAAAGUUGCCGGUUUUUGAGGUUUCUUUUGGGAUUAGAUUUAUUAAUCUAACUUUCGUAAAAAAAAAAAAAAAAGAAGAGGGCGCCUGGUUGUAAUAUUUUUAAUUUUCAUAAAGUUUCAAGGGCCGAGCCACGCGCGAAAAUUGACAUCCAGAGGCUCCGGAGCUUGACAAGUCAUAAGUGGGCCCGACGACGUAGCUGGUUACCUUUGGCUUGUGUUGCCAAUUCGACUCGACUUUUCUUUUCUUUUCUGUGUGGAAGAAUUUGAUGCUUUUAUUGAGUAGUAGCUCGAAAUUAAAACACACCGGGAGUGAGUGGGAGACGGAUGGUGGAUUAUUUCCUUCAAAUCAAAUCAAAUCAAAUCAAUUUGGCAUGCCGAUGCGCGUCGUCAUGUUUUCUGGUCUAAAAAAUUAAUUAAAGCCUAAAUUAGAUUGUUUAAAAGUCCCCGCCCCCACCAACAAAUAAUCCUCUUUCCUUUUUUUUUUCUCUCUCUGUGUCUAAUUCUUUAUCUAUGAUGAGACAGAGAGAGUUACGUGUAAUUUGGGGGGUGAGUAGUAUUAGUUUUGGCAUUCACGACGUUAUCUGAAUUGUUUAGUAUUUUGGAGAACCGAGAGAGAGAGAGAGACGGAAUCCAGUGAGAUCCGGCUAUCUGCGGUUGCGACGUCGCGGGAGCAUUCUUUACUCCUCAACCGAAGCUUUUCUUUUGGGAUUAGGGUAUUUGUUUGUAGGGUUAAUUACAGUUUAUCCUCUUGAACUUGAUCCGUUGUAACACUUUGCCUCCUUGAACUUUAAAUAAAUAUACUUUGCCCUCUCUAUUGACUAGUCAAAUGCUAAUGAUUAAUUAUCCAUCCAAAAAUGUAAUAAAAUGAUGUUAAUGCUCUUACAUAAAAGUUCUAGAAUAAUACUAUCCUUUUAAUCGGAAUAUAAAACAUUUUAUUAGAAAAAACACAAAGUCAUAUGAUUUAAAAAUUUUUUAAAAAAUAAAAGAUGGUAUUAAACCAAAGAAUUGAAAAAUUGUAUUAUGGAGAAAAAAAGAAUUUAAACUUCCUAAAACAUCUGCAUGAGUUUUUCAUCGCUUAUCUCUCUUCCUUUAAAUUAUAAAAUUGUAUUAUGGAGAAAAAAAGAAUUUAAACUUCCUAAAACAUCUGCAUGAGUUUUUCAUCGCUUAUCUCUCUUCCUUUAAAUUAUAAACGGACUAAUUUUGAUAAUUUUCAUUUACUUUGUAGCUAUCACAAGAUUUUCAUGAUUCAAUAAAUGCUAUUUGGUAAUUUUAUAUCACAUUCAUACCUUACUUUGUAUUAUAUUUGCAUUCUACAUUAAAAAAAUUGAAAAUUCUCUAAUACAUUUUUCAAUACAUUUUUAUUUUUAUCUCAUAUAAAACACAUAAGAAAGUGGCACAAUAAAAAAUAUAAGCAAAUAAUUUUCAUUCCAAAUGCACUAAAUAACUUUAUUUCAUUAAAAUAAGUAUUGCUAUUGGCAUUGAGAUAAAUACAUUGAGUUGGUUAGACUUCUUUCUAUGAAUUAUCUAAUUCAUUUUAACACUAAAAGAUCGAAAUACAUGGUGUAAUUGUGUUUAGAUGCAUUUAGCAACUAUUAAAGAAAUAUGUAUUUAUUAUGUUAUAAUUAUUAUGUGCGUUUAAGGAUUAGCCAGGGAUAUUUUGAUCAUGAAAAAAUAUAACUUCAUCUUAACCUUGUCAAAAAGUUGACCAUAAGGGAUAAAGUGUAUAUAUUUGAAGUUGAAGGGGCAAAGUGUUACAAGGGUCCAAGUUUAAGGGAGCAAAGUGUAAAUAGUCCAAGGAGACGAUACUUUUAUCAGCUUCUAUUACAUUUGGUUUUCUCUAUCAUAUCCAAAUAAAUACUGGCUCUGUUUCUAUUAUUCAGUAUUUGAAACACAAAGCUUUUAUUGCAAUUCUUUAUAGUCCAUGUCCUUAUCCUGCAUUUGUACCUUAAUUUUUACUGAGCUCUACCUACCUAAUUAACGAGUUAAUCCCCAACUCUUUGAUCAUAUAUGUGACAAAUAAUUUAGUACUCCAUUAUAUAUAUCCAAGACUUUUACAAAUUGCGGAGGAGAGUUUUGUUCGUAAAAUUCCCCCCGGGGGGAAGGGACGUGCUACAAAACGUGGCUAUCUUUCUUUUGCCUGUUGUAUUAAUUCAUAUUCCCACUCGCUCGUAUUUUCGCUUUAUCAGCAUCCACUCCACAAACUUUUGAUUCUUAAGACUAAUUCAUUCAAGUCUUGAUGCGUAUAUCACAAUCUGAAAAUUGGUGUUCAACUCUUCAUUCAAGUCCAUCAUAUCAAACAAAGCUUACAGAAGUUGUCAUAGUUAUAGAGGUCGUAUCUUCAAAAUCUCAAGAAAUAAUUCUUUUUUUCUUCACGAGAGCCGUAAAGUAAGAGUUAUGUUUGUAACUUUCGAAUUACCACUAGAAUCCGUUUCUAGUUUGAAAACUACACAUUACACAACAAUCCCCCAAAACUCAUUUCGUACCCAAAUGUUUACUCAGGUUUUCCUAAUUAAUGAGUUACUCCCCAGCAGUUUGAUCAGUAGUAUUAUGCAAGACUUUUACAAAUUACACGGAGGAGGAGUGUCGUUUGUACAAUUGCACUGACAAGCUUGCUAUCGCUAUUGACAUGCUUGUUCUGACGUUUGAUUCAGUUUCAUUACUGUUCAGUCGAAAUUCCAUACAAACUUGGUUAAAUUUCCUUUACUGUUGUCAUCUCCCUAGCAUUCUGGAAGUCUAUCAAUUCUAACAUGUAACAUCUCGAUGCAGAGUUGAAUUUGAAACCCCCCCUUUUUUUUUUACCGGAAGAAACAUCAUCAUAAUAUACAAGCAGGAUAACUGUCUCCACGUUUCUAUGGUGGGUUUUUUGGGGGAAUGUUCAGUGGGAUAUGGAUUACCUUAAAAGCGUUACAGCAAAACUCAAUACGAAGAAAUGAGUACAUUAAUUGAUGCUCAAGACCCUCUCUAUCAUUCAAGUUGAGCAUACCAUAUUCCUUGGAUUUUUACUUCCUUGGGGGCCUUUGAUCCCAAGUCAGUGUCAGAUGGCUGAACGCUCUCAAAUACUCCAAUCACUUCUCCAGUUUCAGGCUUGCUCUUGGUUACGCUCAAGGUGAUCUUCCCUGAUGAAGAUGAAACGUUCUUGAUGUUUUCCUUCACAAGUUCCUCCUCGUCUCCUCUGCCUCCAGC